UCAGCACUUCCACAGGUCUAACCCCAGACAGUGGGGCUGAGACUUGGUAGCUGGUGCUAAGAGUAAAAAUCCCUUGGUUACUCUUGCCCUGGCCAUGCCUGUGGCAACAGUGACUUGGGGGACAGUA
RNAcentral lists this small nucleolar RNA (127 nucleotides) under Notamacropus eugenii (tammar wallaby). RNAcentral describes it as "Small nucleolar RNA SNORA30/SNORA37 family (ENSMEUG00000017450.1)". Lineage: Eukaryota; Metazoa; Chordata; Mammalia; Diprotodontia; Macropodidae. The record is from RNAcentral.